This 124-nucleotide non-coding RNA is filed under the name Aulacoseira subarctica. The record is from RNAcentral. Lineage: Eukaryota; Bacillariophyta; Melosirophyceae; Melosirales; Aulacoseiraceae.
UCGGAAUUGUUAGAUAUGCGGGCCCUGCAACAGAAACGAUUAGAACAAGACGAUGUAGCGGAACGAUUACGUAUUGAAGAAACAAAGGCUGCGUUACAAAAAGCCAAACAAGGGAUGGAACGAG